This 486-nucleotide ribosomal RNA is filed under the name uncultured bacterium. RNAcentral describes it as "partial 16S ribosomal RNA". It matches the Rfam family "Bacterial small subunit ribosomal RNA", at positions 30 to 507 of the family's 1533-position model. The record is from RNAcentral.
AUUGAACGCUGGCGGCAUGCCUUACACAUGCAAGUCGAACGGCAGCACGGGUGCUUGCACCUGGUGGCGAGUGGCGAACGGGUGAGUAAUACAUCGGAACACGUCCUGUAGUGGGGGAUAGCCCGGCGAAAGCCGGAUUAAUACCGCAUACGAUCUACGGAUGAAAGCGGGGGACCUUCGGGCCUCGCGCUAUAGGGUUGGCCGAUGGCUGAUUAGCUAGUUGGUGGGGUAAAGGCCUACCAAGGCGACGAUCAGUAGCUGGUCUGAGAGGACGACCAGCCCAACUGGGACUGAGACACGGCCCAGACUCCUACGGGAGGCAGCAAUGGGGAAUUUUGGACCAUGGGCGAAAGCCUGAUCCAGCAAUGCCGCGUGUGUGAAGAAGGCCUUCGGGUUGUAAAGCACUUUUGUCCGGAAAGAAAUCCUUGGCCCUAAUACGGUCGGGGGAUGACGGUACCGGAAGAAUAAGCACCGGCUAACUACGUG